This is a long non-coding RNA of Rosa chinensis, 2474 nucleotides long. RefSeq lists it as uncharacterized. The record is from RefSeq and is a predicted model, not a curated record. The transcript is spliced from 7 exons. Lineage: Eukaryota; Viridiplantae; Streptophyta; Magnoliopsida; Rosales; Rosaceae.
CAAAUUUUCAAGCGGAAAGUUUUCAUAGUCAACAAAUUUCGCGGUCUCCAAAAGUUAUAGGCGCGCUUCCAAUUCUCAAAUUGUGAAUGAAAGCUCGAUAUUGUGAAUUGUGAUACCCAUCUUGUUCUUCUCUCACUCCGACUCCGACUCCGACCCCGACUCAUACACAUCGACUCCGACUCAAAUCUUCUCCUCUGCUCCUAUUGCCUUCUUCACCGUUCCUAUUGUUGCUCGGCUACUAUGACUAUAUAUGUAACUUGGCUUUUCAUAUUUCUUGUUCAAGGGUUUGCUGGAGACAACGAAGAAGGAUCCACAAAUAAACAAUUGGCUUUUUGGACUUCAUCCCAAUGUUUGUGUUUUCAGAGUUGUCAGAAGACUUUAAAUAUAUACACAACCAGAGGCCGCAAAGAAAAAUCUCUCAUGUAUUCCUUUAGCACCAGCCUGUGUGAUUCUAGAUUUGCAAAUAUAGGAUGUGGAAUUCCUUCAGAGUUGAAGUAUGAUUGGAAGAAUUGAAGACUAUGUGGCACUUUUGGGACAUGUCCAGUAGCCUUUUUCUUUCUUUGCUUCAUGGUUUCAGGUUUAAUGAAAAUUUGUGGUAUGUGAUUUUGUCAGUUUUUUGUUCUUGUACUUUGGAGUUUGAUAUAGUUGUGAAUAAAUAAUGAGAUUCUUGAGCAUAUCAACUAUUGAAGAGAAUAAAGAAUGUAGAGUAAUGACAGUCAUUUGUGAUAUAGAAUGUGAUUCAAACAUGAUUAGAAAACAAAUGAAUCAUAGUUACCGAAGAGGAACGUUGGAAGCAUAUGGUUGUGGAAGACUGGAAGUGCUUUUUCUCAGUCUUAUUUUGGUCAGCUUUUUGCCAAAAGAGCCUUUAGUUCUUAAAAAUUGUGGUCAGGUUUGACUAACUAAUUAUUGCUGUAAAUGAGAUCACACUAUCAAUUCAUUGAUCCAAAGUACUUAUCUCUUCCACAACUAAUAAACAAGGCUUUAAUCCUUUUUUUGUUGUUGUCUAUUCUACUACAUCUGCAACUUUUUCUUGUUCUAGCUUUUGUCAGAUUACUUCUAACUUUGUCUUCAACUUUAUUUUGGAAGGGUCAGUAGCAUUAUAACAAUGUUUGCAGGUUCAUUUGGAUACCCUUUAAACUGGCUGUUUGGCUAUUUUAAUUUCAAGUUUUGUUGAUUGCCAGACUUCAACCCUGAAAUUGCUCUAGUAUUAUAAAAAAGGUGUCCAGGUAUACUAUACAGCUCCACAUAUGGUAUAUUACAUCUUCCUCUUUUUAUUUUUCGUAACACAACAUAUUGAUCAAUACUCGCUCCAUCUUCUUCUUUUUCCAUUUUCUUUUCUCUCUCUCUCUCUCUCUCUCUCUCUCUCUCUUUUCUUUAUCACACAAUAGACGAGUAAACAACCCUUCAACUUAGAAUUUGCAGUACCUCUGGGAGGUACCUCAGAUACGGUGAGUUUUUUCUUUUUUUCUUUUUUAAGACUAUAGGCUGUUGCCCUUUUUUCUAUUUCCAGCCAUAAAACAAAGCACACUUUUCUUUCUGGGAAGAAGAAGAUGACCAAAAAAAAAAAAACAGAACACUUUAUUUUAAGCAAACAAUAAAGACAAAUAGACAACCCCCAUCUCAAGUUUCUUCCAGACUAAAUUCACAUAGCCACAUCACUAGCUUAGGAAGUUGUCACUUCAGUUCUGUUUUCUAUGAAUGUUAUAGUCAUGACUACUGAAUUAAGGGUUUUGCUUGAUUUCUAGUCUUUUGUGGUUGCUAUCUGUGGUUGGUGUUAUACUACUGCAAUUUGUUCUGGUUCAGUAAUGAAAAGCUAUGAUAGUUUCUUUAAACUGAGUUUGUUUAUCUUUAAGGUCCAAUUGCAUAUUCAUAAUGGCUUUUUUUUUCUUUCUCCGAGGUCACUGGGGUAGGCACUAUAUGUAACACCCCAACCCGGAUGAAUCAAAAGGAAUCUGGAUUAAGGAUGUUACAAAUGGCAUUUUUGUUUGAUAAUCUUGGUUAUUUAUGGAGGGUAGAUUGUGAAACAGAUUUGAAAUUUUCAUCCUUGCAACUAACAUGCAUGACCUAUAUGUGCACAGGCUCAACUGGGAGGCGAGUGCACAAAUACAUGUAGUGGGAAGUUAGACCCCUUUUUGACAUUAAGUGGCUGUAUUUGCAGCAGGAGUUGAAUUGAUUCUGUGGACACAUGAUUCCAUUCGAUUGUAUUUUUUGUGGUGAAUGGUGAAGGUCAUCAUUUCAGAGGAAGAUAUAUCAAAGCACAUCAAUUACAACUAUUAUAUGUGACAAGUUGCAUAAGCUUGUCCAUCUUUCUCUUGGAUUUUGUUGUCAUGGAAGUAUCGAAAUUGUUUUAGGCUUUUAAAUUAGUUUUCAUGGGACAUGUACAUGUGAACAUGAAUAAAUAAGUGAUAAUGUGGAUUGUCCUCAGCAAUACAAUGUAUUUAGUGUAAUACAAUUUCUAUUAUAUAGAAGUUUGA